Molecule: ribosomal RNA, 460 nt
Filed under: uncultured bacterium
Lineage: Bacteria
Description: partial 16S ribosomal RNA
Rfam family: Bacterial small subunit ribosomal RNA
Source: RNAcentral
CCUACGGGUGGCAGCAGGGAGGAAUAUUGGUCAAUGGGCGGGAGCCUGAACCAGCCAAGGAGCGUGAAGGAUGAAGGCACAGAGGGUUGUAAACUUCUUUUAUAAAGGAAUAAAGUGAGGCACGUGUGCCUUGUUGUAUGUACCUUAUGAAUAAGGAUCGGCUAACUCCGUGCCAGCAGCCGCGGUAAUACGGAGGAUCCGAGCGUUAUCCGGAUUUAUUGGGGUUAAAGGGGGCGUAGAUGGGUUGUUAAGUCAGUUGUUAAAGUUUGGGGCUCAACCGUAAAAUUGCAGUUGAUACUGGCAGUCUGGAGUACAGUUGAGGUAUGCGGAAUGCGCGGUGUAGCGGUGAAAUGCUUAGAUAUCGCGCAGAACUCCGAUUGCGAAGGCAGCAUGCUAGACUGCCACUGACAUUGAUGCUCGAAAGUGUGGGUAUCAAACAGGAUUAGAUACCCGAGUAGUC